ACUAAUCCGUUAGGGAAGACUUGGAGCACCAUGUGAAUCUGUUUGUGUAUGCAUAAUUGCAUCUGCAGGAAACUACAUCCAGCUGACCGAGCUCUGUAGAAAUAUGCACAACUCACAGACCUCACACCACUCCUGGCUACUGCGGAAGGCAGAAUGUAUGAUGACCACACCCAGCCACAACUGGUGACUGAUCUGGGGUUUAGGAGUAAAACCUCACUUUUCAUAAGAGAGAGGUGAAAUAAGAAUUAGAAUUGCCUCCUGUCUACUGUUGUGGGGGAUGCAGCAUGUUGCCAUGGGAACCGAAUGGUCUUUGGAGUGGAACACUCCUCUACCUGAGGUCCUGCUUGACAAAAUCCUUCUACCAGCGUGACUUCAGUGAACUCCUCAAACCUCCUCAGGUGGCAACAGGAAAAUGGCACUCAGUCUCAAUCACUGAAAAUUAAGUUACAAAAUGCAUGAAAAAUCCCAGCCUAGUGCUUGGAGCAGAGCAGACGUGUUUGUCCUCAUUGUCUUCCUUUGUAUAAUGACACCCAAUAAAUUUUAUUGAGCAUA
Bubalus bubalis (water buffalo) is the source of this 552-nucleotide long non-coding RNA. RefSeq lists it as uncharacterized. The transcript has 2 exons. NCBI's taxonomy places the organism in Eukaryota, Metazoa, Chordata, Mammalia, Artiodactyla, Bovidae. The record is from RefSeq and is a predicted model, not a curated record.